Molecule: ribosomal RNA, 483 nt
Filed under: uncultured bacterium
Lineage: Bacteria
Description: partial 16S ribosomal RNA
Rfam family: Bacterial small subunit ribosomal RNA
Source: RNAcentral
GACGAACGCUGGCGGCGUGCCUAACACAUGCAAGUCGAGCGGGGAUCUAAGUGGAAGUUCUUCGGUAUGGAGAUUUAAAUUCUAGCGGCGUACGGGUGAGUAAAGCGUGAACAAUCUGUCCCGGACAGGGGGGUAACACCUGGUAACAGGUGCUAAUACCGCAUAAGACCACGGACUCGCAUGGGGCUGUGGUCUAUGGAGCUAUCCGAUUAGGGGUGAGUUCGCGUCCGAUUAGCUAGCUGGUGGGGUAGCGGCCCACCAACGCGACGAACGGUAGCCGGCCUGAGAGAGAGAAGGGCCACAUUGGUACGGAGGGACGGUCCAAGCACCUACGCGAGGCAGCAGUGAGGAAUAUUGAGCAACGGGCGGAGGCCUGACCCAGCAACCCCGCGUGAGAGAAGAAUGUUUUCGGAUUGUAGGCCUCUUUCCUAAUAGACGAAGGAAGUGACGGUACCAUAGGAGAAAGCCCCGGCUAACUACGUG